RNAcentral lists this ribosomal RNA (253 nucleotides) under uncultured bacterium. RNAcentral describes it as "partial 16S ribosomal RNA". It matches the Rfam family "Bacterial small subunit ribosomal RNA", at positions 524 to 776 of the family's 1533-position model. The record is from RNAcentral.
UACGUAGGCAGCAAGCGUUGUCCGGAAUCACUGGGCGUAAAGGGCGCGUAGGCGGCUUGAUAAGGUUGCGGUGAAAGCCCGGGGCUCAACCCCGGGUCGGCCGUGGCAACUGUCGAGCUGGAGCACUGUAGAGGCAGGUGGAAUUCCGGGUGUAGCGGUGGAAUGCGUAGAGAUCCGGAAGAACACCGGUGGCGAAGGCGGUCUGCUGGGCAGUUGCUGACGCUGAUGCGCGACAGCGUGGGGAGCAAACAGG